Non-coding RNA from Oryza sativa Japonica Group (Japanese rice), 2782 nucleotides. Lineage: Eukaryota; Viridiplantae; Streptophyta; Magnoliopsida; Poales; Poaceae. The record is from RefSeq and is a predicted model, not a curated record.
UAAAAUUCGCAUGUCUCCCAACCAAACAAAUCCCUCUAAACUUCUAAUCCCUCCUAAAAUCUCUUCCCAACCAAACGGGCCGUACGUCCCUACGCCUCGCCCUCACCCUUCCCCUCGCGCCCGCUCCCUCGCAGCGCCGUCGUAGGCGCCGGGCGCCGCCGCCUCCUCGCGCGCGCCCGCCGGAGAGCCAGUUUCGAGAGGACGGAGAGCCAGGCGCGACACGAGAGAGGCAGGGGUCGACAGCGGCUGGCUUGAAGCCCUCAGUUCCGCCCCUCCCCGGCGGUCCACAGAGGCCGGCCCCGACGGCCUCAGCUUUGCCCCUCCCCGGCACCACUCCUUCCCCUGUGCUCACCAAAUCUCCUUGCAGCGCGAAGCACCACCACGCCUCUGCAUUCAACAAUCCCUAGGACGUAUGCAAUGUGUUCGUUGAUUUGCCUAAGCCAGGUUGGCCAAACUGCGUAUUACGUUCUUCCGUGCAUAUUGGUUCAACCAUUGCUUCAUUGCCUUUAUGCUUGCUUUGCUAUCAACUUUUUAUUGCUCCGAUCUGACAUUCACAAUCCACAGAGGCUUGCUUCUGUUUGAUUUAAUGGCUCCGCUUGAUUAAGCCUCAGAAGUAUGCACUUUGUACCGUGAAAGUUGAGCACUUUGUUGUCAGAGGUUUCAUAUUAUAAGACUUUCUAUCAUUGUCCACAUUCAUAUAUAUGUUAAUGAAUCUAGAUAUAUAUGUAUGUCUAGAUUCAUUAACAUCUAUAUAAAUGUGGGCAAUGCUAAAAAGUUUUAUAAUCUGAAACGAAACGGAGGUAGUAUAAUAAUGGAGAUCAUCGUGUUCCUGGAAUUUGUAAGUGGGUCACGAAUUUCUCUCGUGAUGAGGUAAUCAUGCACUUCUUCCCCCUAUUAAUAUUUUUUAAUCAUUUCAGGAAUGUCAAAUAUUGGAAUCAAAAUUUCAGCCUUGGAACUUAGUGUCCCUCGUCCUAAUCAAUGGGCUAUCUUUAUUUUAGGAACAUAAGCUGUGUUUCAGUCAACAAGUAAAAUGGUCCACAUUGUUUGUUGCUGGUGCAGUCCCUAUGCACAAAGUUGGAUGAUAUCGUUUCACACUCCUUUUACUUAUGGUAGAAAUCCUAGCUAAACUUUUGCUACCUCCUGCCCAUGCAUACAUCUAUAUACUUCUAAUUUCCCCCCCUUUUUUUAAUGACACAGCAGGUGCUCACCAAACAAUUCAGAUUUAUCUAAAGCUCCAAAUAUAUUUUAAAAAACGAUGUCAUGCUGCCAAAGAUUUGUGGAUAUGUGAAAUGAGUUCUAUUUACUAAUGACGUAAUGUAUAAAUUUUAUAUAUCAGCAUAUAUUUUCUUGGCUUGUUCUUUUAUUUCUUUUUAUUUGGCUGAAAUUUGAUUGAAAGAUUUGAUGUGGCUAAAAAUGAGAAUUUCUAAGGCCAUGUUUGGUGUCUCAAGAAUUGAGUACUUGCAGCCAUGCCGAACAUCCCUCAUGCUAAUGUCUACCCAAGCUUUCAGAUUUUAAGGCCCUUGCCACAUUGAUCAAAAUAUUCAGUCCAGUGGAGGCUCUAAAUUUGCUUUAAAUCUAGAUGGUUUCCAGCGGUAAGGCCUUAAGGCAUCAUAUUCUUAUGGUUAGUGUUUCUAUGUGCCGAGCUUACUGAUGUCCAUGUUUGAACCAUUUUCAUCAUCAUUGUGGAUAUAUUAUUUAUUUGUAGUUUCACCAAAAGUGGAGUGUAGCUGUGGACUCUUGGAUUACAUUGAAUCUUGAAAAGGUACUACCUCCGUCACAAAAUAUAAGAAGCUUUGAGGUUGGACACGGUUAUUAAGAAAGUAUGCAAAAUUAAAUGGAUGGAGGUGUGAUUGGUUGAAGAGUGGAUGUAGGUGGGGAAAUUGAAUAAUGGAGGAUUGUAAUUGGUUGAGAAGAGAAUGUUGGUAAAGAAGUUGCUAUAUUUUGGGACAAAUUCUGAGUGCUAGAAUUUGUUAUAUUUUGGGAUGGGGGGAGUAUAUGCCAUUCCAAUUUCAGAUGAUGCAUUUUCCCUAAUUUGAGAUGUUGAACUUUUUCCAGCCUAAUAGAGGAACCCUUUCCUUCGGGGAAAUUCCAUGAAAGAUAUUAAUCUCCAGAUUUUAAGAUUGUUGGCUGCCACUUCAAUUCUAGGUCUUUGCAUGCUUUACAAUAUGGUCCUUUUGUAUUAGUAUUAUGAUAAAGGAAAAUAUAAAGGUGGUUUUAACUAAUUUUAGUGUUUGUAGAAUGGUCACAUUUGAUAUAUACUUUUGUACUUCAAUUAAGGCAACUAUGGAUGAUAUUUUUUGGAUAACUAUGUGAUGACCAUUUUUUGCAAGUGAAAGAGAUAUCAGCUUCUAGGUUUUGCAUAUCACAUUAACAAGUGAAAGAGAUAUUAGCUUUUGGGUUUUGCAGAUCACAUUAACUUAUAUUGGUCACACGGCAGGAGAUGUAUACAUCUCAUCGGUGAUCAUGUAAAUGCUAUUUUAAUUGCAGGCCAAGAGGGGCAUAUUUGAAGUAGUUGUUGCUGAAGAGAAGCUAAUUUAUGUACAUCGUGGAGACGUGGUCUUUUUUUCCAAUUAGAUACUGUAGGCAGUGAGCUUCACUACAAUGCCAUAUAGACAAAUAUCUUGCUUUGAGUUUUCGAGUGUUUAUCGAGCUACGGCAAAUUAUAUAUUCGGUAUUGUUAGCUGCUUUGUAUUUUUUUAGUGUUUUAAAAGGGUGCUUAAUGUAUAGUAUGUCAAAUAACAUUUAAGUAGAUAUAGUUAUUAAACUUUAUUGUGUUUGUAUA